CCUAGAAUUGUAAAAAACUAGAUUAGUUGCAGUAGCCAUGGCCAUCUCUUCCAUGGACCCAAAAGCCGUGAAAUCGGACUUGGUCUUCAUCCUCGACUACGGCUCCCAUACACCCACCUCAUCACUCGCCGCAUCCGAUCCCUCUCCGUCUUCUCCCUCACCAUCUCCUGCACCAGCCCCCUCAAGGCCAUCACCGACCUCAACCCCAGCGUUGUCAUCCUCUCCGGCAGUCCCCAUUCCGUCCACACUGACGACUCCCCCAGCUUCCCAGCAGGGUCCACCGAGUGGGUCGAGGCCCACGACUUCUUCGUCCGCGGAAUCUGCUAUGGCUUGCAACUGAUUGUGCAGAAGCUUGGCGGGGUGGUUAGGGCUGGGAAGAAGCAAGACUAUGGCAAGAUGGAGAUUGUGGUGGAGAGCAAUUCGGGGAUUUUCCGGGACCAAGAGGGUUGGGGAUACCCAGGGGUUCCGGGUGAUGGAGCAGAGCUAGCAGGGAGUGGUGGCCGCCAUUGAAAGCCUAGAAAGGAGGUUCUAUGGGCUGCAGUACCACCCUGAGAAGAACCGGCCAUGUUUCACAUUUCUAUCAACUUGAUUGUAAAACUGCAAGUAUGCUGCAUUAUCAAAAGAAGAGUGGGAAGAACAAUUCGCAAGUAUAAACUGCAAGUAUGCUGCAUUACUUGGAGAUUAUAGUUUUAUUCUGAAGCAUAAACAACGCAGGUUGUUAAAGUGAAAUCAGCCAUCUCAAGGUCUGUUAGCAAGAAGAAAUAGGUGUCAAGUGCUGGGUAUGGUCACAAUCUGAACUGUUCAAAGGUGCAAUCAUCCAUCUUUGGGGCUUCUAUCUCAACCUGGUCGUCUUUACAUUUCAGCAUAUGCAGUGAAAAAUUAUAUGCAAACUCUGAAGGCAAGUGAUUGGCAUCUUGAAGGAGCUAGGAGCAUUUAAUAUAUUCUACAGCAAAGCCACGGGAGGAGAAGAAAAAACAAAUGUCCAAGCUCUAGAGUACAUUGUAAAUUAUUUUGCUAGUUAGCUUCAAUAGUUAGGUCUCAUGGAAUAAUUAAUGACUAUUGUAGAUGUAUUUUGAUGGCUGUAAUGGCAUUGGAGUUUUC
Molecule: long non-coding RNA, 1101 nt
Organism: Rosa chinensis
Lineage: Eukaryota; Viridiplantae; Streptophyta; Magnoliopsida; Rosales; Rosaceae
Exons: 5
Source: RefSeq, a predicted model, not a curated record